Long non-coding RNA from Bos grunniens (domestic yak), 1656 nucleotides. Lineage: Eukaryota; Metazoa; Chordata; Mammalia; Artiodactyla; Bovidae. The record is from Ensembl.
AUGGGCCCUCAGGAACUUCUCUCGCACCUCCCCAGCUCCCUUUGGGCCUGCUGCUCAUGGGGCUGCUCCAAGGCCUGGAACACCAGGGCACGGACACCAGGUAGAGCAGGACCAGAGCCAGCAGUGCCAGUAGUGUGGUGCUGCGCAUGGCGCGCCAGGGGCCCGGCCAACUCCACUGCCCGCCUGGGAGGCUGGGCAGGGGUUCCUGGGGAGCUGCAGUCACUGCAGGCAGAACCAGGGAUGCCGGGUCAAUCAUCUGGCCUGACACCCCUACACCCUCCUUCUCCAACCCUACACACGCAAAGGUCCUGGGGCCCCGGCCUACUACCUGCAGAGGUCUCUCCUCACACCCCUCUGAUCAACCCGCUCCUGGUACCAGGACACACCCAGUGCCCACCCACCCCCACCUCAGUCCUCCCCUUACCUCCACUGCCCGGCCCUCAGCCCCAGUCCGGGACUCCAGGGUGUGAGAAGAGGCACAGGAAAGGAAAGGACGGAGAGUGGAAGGUGGAAACAGAGACAGCCUGCCCAGGGAGGCGGGGCCAGAGAGGAGAUGCUGGGGGCCUGGAGAGGGACCCCGCCUUCCAGCUGGGGGCUGAGGGGAGCAGAGGACCACGCCGGGCAGGGACGUGGAUGGCGGUCCGGCUUGUCCGCCGAGGUUGCAGCAGCAUCUUCGCGGCUUCUCCUCCCUCCUGCCUCUCCUUGCCCGGCUGGGGCGAUAGGCCAGGCUGGGAGCCCCAGGGUCCCCAGCGCCCCGCUGGGCUUUCGAGGAACCCAGGGCGGGUCCCAGUCGCUGCGCAGAGGCGAGGCUGGGUGGAGGGGAAGGGAGGUACCGGGUUCCGGGAAGGAGCGGGAUGGGAGCGACCAGGGCCGGACCAGCGCGGCAUCCCCAGGACAGCUGCCGGCUCCCCGGGACAGAGCGCGGCGACGCCCACGCGCACACGCGGGCACAAAGACCCGCGCGCCCACGCUCCGCCCUGCGGCUCCAGGCGGCCUCGCUGCCCGCGUUGCAUGCACACCGUCCACCUGCACACACCCGGACUCCCGGGCACACCGGACCUUCAGGGCCGUGCGCGCCAGGCCAAGGCCCCAGAGGCCCACACAUGUGCACAGACUCACUUCCACGCACACCCAGAUCGCGGGGCCACCGCGCAGCGCCCGCCGCCCAGACACCGCACACCCGCCACUCGCUCCCACCACCUCCCCACGUCUUCACGCCGACGCCUCAGGCGUGACGGGCGGCAGGCAGGACGCACGGCCGCAGGACUCCCGGAGGUGGGCCCCUCCCAGCCGGUCUCCCCUGCGCGACCCAGCCCGGGAGCCCGGCCUGCGGCCCCGCCGUCCCGCACGCCCUCCCGCGCCCGCGCGCCCGCCCGCUCCGCCCCGCACUCACUGUUGGCCCCGCUGCGGCUGCGGCUGCGGCCUGGCUCCCGUGCGGCCUCGCCGGUGCCGGCGGGGCCGCGGAGGCGGCGGCAGGGGCGGAGCGGGCGGGCGCUGGUGCUGAGACCCCCUUCUGCCGCCAGAAGCCCCCUCCUCCCGUGUUUAACCCUCCAGCACCGCUCUUCCCUCGGUGCCUCGCCCUCGCCUCCGGCUCGGCUCUCCGCAGCCUUACCUGAGGUUGCCCAGCCCCCAAACCCAGCCCGUCCCGGGAGGUGA